GAUCUAGUGGCCAAGCCAUAUCCACCUUGUUUGGGAUCUAUAACAGCAAUAGAAAAAUGUAUGAAAACUUCCAUUGAUUUAGUUCCAGAGUUUCUACUACACUUACUGGUUCCUAUCCUCCACAGACUCUUUUACUGGCAGUCACCUGGCAUCCUGUGAAAUAUUACUGCUUUCGUCUUCAAAGAGCACUAGCUUCAGAAGAGGCCGCACAGUGAUUGUGGUGGAUCAAGAGAAAAAGAACAACUCUCUACAGUCAGAUGGUGCUCACACCUGAGGUUCAAAGAAGACUCAGGAUUCCUUGAAGGAGGAGCCCAAAAUCAGCAACAGGUAGCAGCACAGCAUCCAAAGCCACCCACCUCCAAGCUUUCCCUUGGGCU
Molecule: long non-coding RNA, 377 nt
Organism: Lemur catta (Ring-tailed lemur)
Lineage: Eukaryota; Metazoa; Chordata; Mammalia; Primates; Lemuridae
Exons: 3
Source: RefSeq, a predicted model, not a curated record